AUUAUUAUUUUUAUAAAUUAUGUAGAAGGCUUUUAGAUUUAAGGCUCUAAAUAGUUGAUAAGCUUGCUGAGGCGAGGUGGCCGCGUCGCCCCGGGGAUGGGUGGUCGGAACAGGGGAUGGAGCAUCUGGGCAAGAGUUCGCCUCCUUAGUCUCCUGAUGGAACGGACACCUUGAAGGAUGCGGGCAAGAUUAUUGGCGUGUGUGGCUAGCCGAAUGUUAUAUAAUCCUAAUCUGCUCAUCGAGCCAGGGGAUCUGCAGAUCUCUGUAGAAGAUGCCUUUGCGCACGUACUAUGGAACUCCUGCCAUCCGGCGAAGAGUCUUGCUUUGAAGAGAUUGAACUCUGUUUCGGUUAGAUCGCAGAUCUGUAUGGCAUCAGCUCGUCGGGAAUGUUUGCUCCACUUAAUAAAUUGUAUGAAAAAUUAAGCAGAAAGGAAUGUACAAUAUCA
Drosophila virilis is the source of this 446-nucleotide non-coding RNA. NCBI's taxonomy places the organism in Eukaryota, Metazoa, Arthropoda, Insecta, Diptera, Drosophilidae. The record is from RefSeq and is a predicted model, not a curated record.